Molecule: long non-coding RNA, 619 nt
Organism: Gasterosteus aculeatus aculeatus (three-spined stickleback)
Lineage: Eukaryota; Metazoa; Chordata; Actinopteri; Perciformes; Gasterosteidae
Source: Ensembl
GGAUCGGCGUGAACGUCAUGGAGAUCCAACGCAGGCCCCGAAGGCGCUGCGUUAGCCACGUUUGAAUUUCUCGGCGUUGCUGCUCAGUUCGCCUCACAAGAGCCUCGUCAUCCCGAGUGUGAAUUCUUGCUUUGCUGGCUGCUUCAGGUUUGUGAAGAGGACCUCGAUGUUCCUGGCGGAGGACGCUAACGCGCCUUGAUUUCUUGAGGCUGAUCAAGGAAAUCGGAGGCUUAUUUAAUCAUUUACAAAAAGGCAAAUUGUUGGUGGUCUGCAAAGACGAAGUGGUGAAGCCCACAAUUCAUUUCCAGACAGAUAUGGAUUUCCUAAUGGAUCAACACAGACUCACUGUCUGCUUCAUGUCCGUCUAAUAGGAAUAAGUGUUGACUCGCCCCUUUUCUGGAAUCCCACUUAAAACAACACACGCACCACGACGCGGUCGACAGCACACUGAAGUGCUGAGGACAACAGUGUGCGGCUGCACCGCGAGAUUCCCACAAAAACUUGGAUUCGAACUGCUGGCUGCGUUCAGCUCUCCGGGAGGAUGCCUGCACCUCGCACCGUCACGGCUCAAAGGCACAGGUGGACCGCUUCCGAAAUUACCGCAAAAUAGCGUUCGCCC